RNAcentral lists this ribosomal RNA (371 nucleotides) under uncultured organism. RNAcentral's name for it is "bacterial SSU rRNA". It matches the Rfam family "Bacterial small subunit ribosomal RNA", at positions 526 to 896 of the family's 1533-position model. The record is from RNAcentral.
CAGAGGGUGCAAGCGUUAAUCGGAAUUACUGGGCGUAAAGCGAGCGUAGUCGGUUAUUUAAGUCGGAUGUGAAAUCCCCGGGCUCAACCUGGGAAUUGCAUUCGAAACUGGAUAGCUAGAGUUCGGCAGAGGGAAGCGGAAUUUCUGGUGUAGCGGUGAAAUGCGUAGAUAUCAGAAGGAACAUCAGUGGCGAAAGCGGCUUCCUGGACCAGAACUGACGAUCAGGCUCGAAAGCGUGGGGAGCAAACAGGAUUAGAUACCCUGGUAGUCCACGCCAUAAACGAUGACAACUAGACGUUGGGGACAUAUGGUCCACAGUGUCGCAGCUAACGCGUUAAGUUGUCCGCCUGGGGAGUACGGCCGCAAGGUUG